GUCCCGGUAGUCUAAUGGGAUGACGUUCCUAGCUUAUUCAUAAAUUGAUGAAUCAAGGAAGGAAUCGGGGUUCAAAUCCUCGCUGGGACA
RNAcentral lists this transfer RNA (90 nucleotides) under Toxoplasma gondii CAST. RNAcentral describes it as "tRNA-Lys". It matches the Rfam family "tRNA". Rfam says of the family: Transfer RNA (tRNA) molecules are approximately 80 nucleotides in length. Their secondary structure includes four short double-helical elements and three loops (D, anti-codon, and T loops). Lineage: Eukaryota; Apicomplexa; Conoidasida; Eucoccidiorida; Sarcocystidae. The record is from RNAcentral.